This 855-nucleotide ribosomal RNA is filed under the name uncultured archaeon. RNAcentral's name for it is "bacterial SSU rRNA". It matches the Rfam family "Archaeal small subunit ribosomal RNA", at positions 1 to 858 of the family's 1478-position model. The record is from RNAcentral.
UUCCGGUUGAUCCUGCCGGAGGCCAUUGCUAUUGGAGUCCGAUUUAGCCAUGCUAGUUGUACGAGUUCAGACUCGUAGCAGAUAGCUCAGUAACACGUGGCCAAACUACCCUCUGGAGCGCGACAACCUCGGGAAACUGAGGCUAAUCGCACAUACCGCUCUCAGGCUGGAACUGCCGAGAGCGCGAAAUGCCCCGGCGCCAGAGGAUGUGGCUGCGGCCGAUUAGGUAGACGGUGGGGUAACGGCCCACCGUGCCAGUAAUCGGUACGGUCAUGAGAGUGAGAGCCCGGAGACGGAAUCUGAGACAAGAUUCCGGGCCCUACGGGGCGCAGCAGGCGCGAAACCUUUACACUGCACGACAGUGCGAUAAGGGGACUCCAAGUGCGAGGGCAUAUCGUCCUCGCUUUUCAGUACCGUAAGGUGGUGCUGGAAUAAGAGCUGGGCAAGACCGGUGCCAGCCGCCGCGGUAAUACCGGCAGCUCGAGUGAUGACCGCUAUUAUUGGGCCUAAAGCGUCCGUAGCCGGCCAGGUAAGUCCAUCGGGAAAUCUCCCCGCUUAACGGGGAGGCGUCCGGUGGAAACUGCCUGGCUUGGGACCGGAAGACCAGAGGGGUACGUCUGGGGUAGGAGUGAAAUCCCGUAAUCCUGGACGGACCGCCGGUGGCGAAAGCGCCUCUGGAGGACGGAUCCGACGGUGAGGGACGAAAGCUAGGGUCACGAACCGGAUUAGAUGCCCGGGUAGUCCUAGCCGUAAACGAUGUCUGCUAGGUGUGCCACAGGCUACGAGCCUGUGGUGUGCCGUAGGGAAGCCGUGAAGCAGACCGCCUGGGAAGUACGUCCGCAAGGAUGAAACUUA